ACACAUACAGAUUUGAUAUCAAUUUGCGCAUGCGUACGAGUCCGACAUUUCGAAUUUUUGUUCGCCAAUUUGAUUGCAAAAACAACUUCCACGACGUUUGAUGUACAUAGCUAUAAACCGUGCAAAAUACAGGGCGGAUGGAUUCAUAAAUUAUCACGGAACAUCAGAUCAGGAUGAAAUAGAAAAAUGUACUUGUCUGCAUGAAACGGAACAUGACGACAGCUUUCCUGAAGUAUCUACCGGACAGAUAAGGUGAAUUAGUCAGAAGGAAAAAGCUGCGAAAUCAACCGAUGGAGCAAACGAAAUCAAUAGAAAUGGAGCA
Mytilus trossulus (common blue mussel) is the source of this 322-nucleotide long non-coding RNA. RefSeq lists it as uncharacterized. The transcript has 3 exons. The record is from RefSeq and is a predicted model, not a curated record. Lineage: Eukaryota; Metazoa; Mollusca; Bivalvia; Mytilida; Mytilidae.